Molecule: ribosomal RNA, 468 nt
Filed under: uncultured bacterium
Lineage: Bacteria
Description: partial 16S ribosomal RNA
Rfam family: Bacterial small subunit ribosomal RNA
Source: RNAcentral
GACGAACGCUGGCGGCGUGCUUAACACAUGCAAGUCGAACGGAAAGGCCCUGCUUUUGUGGGGUGCUCGAGUGGCGAACGGGUGAGUAACACGUGAGUAACCUGCCCUUGACUUUGGGAUAACUUCAGGAAACUGGGGCUAAUACCGGAUAGGAGCUCCUGCUGCAUGGUGGGGGUUGGAAAGUUUCGGCGGGUGGGGAUGGACUCGCGGCUUAUCAGCUUGUUGGUGGGGGAGUGGCUUACCAAGGCUUUGACGGGUAGCCGGCCUGAGAGGGUGACCGGCCACAUUGCUACUGAGAUACGGCCCCGACUCCUCCGGGAGGCAGCCGUGCGGCCUCUUGCACACUCGGCGGAAGCCUGAUGCAGCACCGCCGCGUGCGGGCUGACGGCCUUCGGGUUGUCACCCGCUUUCGCCUGUGACGAAGCGUGAGUGCCGGUACUGGGUAAAGACGCACCGGCUAACUACGUG